Molecule: ribosomal RNA, 243 nt
Filed under: uncultured bacterium
Lineage: Bacteria
Description: partial 16S ribosomal RNA
Rfam family: Bacterial small subunit ribosomal RNA
Source: RNAcentral
UACGAAGGGGGCUAGCGUUGCUCGGAAUUACUGGGCGUAAAGCGCACGUAGGCGGCUUCUAAGUCGGGGUGAAUCCUGGAGCUCAACUCCAGAACUGCCUUCGAUACUGGAAGCUCGAGUCCGGGAGAGGUGAGUGGAACUGCGAGUGUAGAGGUGAAAUUCGUAGAUAUUCGCAAGAACACCAGUGGCGAAGGCGGCUCACUGGCCCGGUACUGACGCUGAGGUGCGAAAGCGUGGGGAGCA